This 629-nucleotide ribosomal RNA is filed under the name uncultured bacterium. RNAcentral describes it as "bacterial SSU rRNA". It matches the Rfam family "Bacterial small subunit ribosomal RNA", at positions 704 to 1328 of the family's 1533-position model. The record is from RNAcentral.
GAACACCAGUGGGCGAAGNGCGGCUUUCUGGGACUGUAACUGACGCUUGAUGCACAGAAAGCGUGGGGGAGCAAACUGGAUUAGAUACCCUGGGUAGUCCACGCUGUAAACGAUGGAUACUAGGUGUGGGGGACAUACAACCUCCGUGCCGGAGCAAACGCAAUAAGUAUCCCGCCUGGGGAGUACGGUCGCAAGACUGAAACUCAAAGGAAUUGACGGGGACCCGCACAAGCAGCGGAGCAUGUGGUUUAAUUCGAAGCAACGCGAAGAACCUUACCAAGGCUUGACAUCCCUUGACCGCCAUAGAGAUAUGGCUUCCCUUCGGGGCAAGGAGACAGGUGGUGCAUGGUUGUCGUCAGCUCGUGUUGUGAGAUGUUGGGUUAAGUCCCGCAACGAGCGCAACCCUUAUCAUUAGUUGCCAGCACGUAAAGGUGGGAACUCUAAUGAGACUGCCGGGGAUAACUCGGAGGAAGGUGGGGACGACGUCAAAUCAUCAUGCCCCUUAUGUCUUGGGCUACACACGUGCUACAAUGGCCGGUACAAAGGGCAGCGAAGCCGUAAGGCGAAGCGAAUCCCAUAAAACCGGUCCCAGUUCGGACCGUGGGCUGCAACCCGCCCACGUGAAGCCG